GAUGAACGCUGGCGGCGUGCCUAAUACAUGCAAGUCGUGCGAACAGAUAAGGAGCUUGCUCCUUUGACGUUAGCGGCGGACGGGUGAGUAACACGUGGGUAACCUACCUAUAAGACUGGGAUAACUUCGGGAAACCGGAGCUAAUACCGGAUAAUAUUUCGAACCGCAUGGUUCGAUAGUGAAAGAUGGUUUUGCUAUCACUUAUAGAUGGACCCGCGCCGUAUUAGCUAGUUGGUAAGGUAACGGCUUACCAAGGCGACGAUACGUAGCCGACCUGAGAGGGUGAUCGGCCACACUGGAACUGAGACACGGUCCAGACUCCUACGGGAGGCAGCAGUAGGGAAUCUUCCGCAAUGGGCGAAAGCCUGACGGAGCAACGCCGCGUGAGUGAUGAAGGUCUUCGGAUCGUAAAACUCUGUUAUUAGGGAAGAACAUACGUGUAAGUAACUGUGCACGUCUUGACGGUACCUAAUCAGAAAGCCACGGCUAACUACGUG
RNAcentral lists this ribosomal RNA (497 nucleotides) under uncultured bacterium. RNAcentral describes it as "partial 16S ribosomal RNA". It matches the Rfam family "Bacterial small subunit ribosomal RNA", at positions 28 to 507 of the family's 1533-position model. The record is from RNAcentral.